This 75-nucleotide transfer RNA is filed under the name Nanobdellati archaeon. RNAcentral describes it as "DPANN group archaeon (hydrothermal vent metagenome) tRNA-Arg". It matches the Rfam family "tRNA". From Rfam's summary of the family: Transfer RNA (tRNA) molecules are approximately 80 nucleotides in length. Lineage: Archaea; Nanobdellati. The record is from RNAcentral.
GAGCCUGUGGCGCAGUCUGGAUAGCGCGGCUGCCUCCUAAGCAGCAGGUCGGGGGUUCAAAUCCUCCCAGGCUCG